GAUGAAGAACGUAGCGAAAUGCGAUAAGUAAUGUGAAUUGCAGAAUUCAGUGAAUCAUCGAAUCUUUGAACGCACAUUGCGCCCGCCAGUAUUCUGGCGGGCAUGCCUGUUCGAGCGUCAUUUUAACCAUCAAGCCCCCGGCUUGUGUUGGGGACCUGCGGCUGCCGCAGGCCCUGAAAAGCAGUGGCGGGCUCGCUGUCACACCGAGCGUAGUAGCAUACAUCUCGCUCUGGGCGUGCUGCGGGUUCCGGCCGUUAAACCACCUUCAUAACCCAAGGUUGACCUCGGAUCAGGUAGGAAGACCCGCUGAACUUAAGCAUAUCAAUAAGCGGAGGA
This 336-nucleotide unclassified non-coding RNA is filed under the name soil metagenome. Its description in RNAcentral is "partial contains 5.8S ribosomal RNA, internal transcribed spacer 2, and large subunit ribosomal RNA". The stretch from base 1 to 120 matches the Rfam family "5.8S ribosomal RNA", at positions 35 to 154 of the family's 154-position model. The record is from RNAcentral.